UAGAGUUUGAUCCUGGCUCAGAGCGAACGCUGGCGGCAGGCCUAACACAUGCAAGUCGAACGAACUCUUCGGAGUUAGUGGCGGACGGGUGAGUAACACGUGGGAACGUGCCUUUAGGUUCGGAAUAACUCAGGGAAACUUGUGCUAAUACCGAAUGUGCCCUUCGGGGGAAAGAUUUAUCGCCUUUAGAGCGGCCCGCGUCUGAUUAGCUAGUUGGUGAGGUAAAGGCUCACCAAGGCGACGAUCAGUAGCUGGUCUGAGAGGAUGAUCAGCCACAUUGGGACUGAGACACGGCCCAAACUCCUACGGGAGGCAGCAGUGGGGAAUCUUGCGCAAUGGGCGAAAGCCUGACGCAGCCAUGCCGCGUGAAUGAUGAAGGUCUUAGGAUUGUAAAAUUCUUUCACCGGGGACGAUAAUGACGGUACCCGGAGAAGAAGCCCCGGCUAACUUCGUGCCAGCAGCCGCGGUAAUACGAAGGGGGCUAGCGUUGCUCGGAAUUACUGGGCGUAAAGGGAGCGUAGGCGGACAUUUAAGUCAGGGGUGAAAUCCCGGGGCUCAACCUCGGAAUUGCCUUUGAUACUGGGUGUCUUGAGUAUGAGAGAGGUGUGUGGAACUCCGAGUGUAGAGGUGAAAUUCGUAGAUAUUCGGAAGAACACCAGUGGCGAAGGCGACACACUGGCUCAUUACUGACGCUGAGGCUCGAAAGCGUGGGGAGCAAACAGGAUUAGAUACCCUGGUAGUCCACGCCGUAAACGAUGAUUGCUAGUUGUCGGGAUGCAUGCAUUUCGGUGACGCAGCUAACGCAUUAAGCAAUCCGCCUGGGGAGUACGGUCGCAAGAUUAAAACUCAAAGGAAUUGACGGGGGCCCGCACAAGCGGUGGAGCAUGUGGUUUA
This 894-nucleotide ribosomal RNA is filed under the name Brevundimonas sp. TH140. RNAcentral's name for it is "bacterial SSU rRNA". It matches the Rfam family "Bacterial small subunit ribosomal RNA", at positions 1 to 948 of the family's 1533-position model. The record is from RNAcentral. Lineage: Bacteria; Pseudomonadati; Pseudomonadota; Alphaproteobacteria; Caulobacterales; Caulobacteraceae.